Sinocyclocheilus rhinocerous is the source of this 881-nucleotide long non-coding RNA. RefSeq lists it as uncharacterized. Lineage: Eukaryota; Metazoa; Chordata; Actinopteri; Cypriniformes; Cyprinidae. The transcript is spliced from 3 exons. The record is from RefSeq and is a predicted model, not a curated record.
UACUUUUUGUACGUUGCCGUGAAUGUGUGUGAGUGUGAGCUGUUCGAAAAGAAUCGAUUCUGCUUCUGCUCUAACCUUUGUGACCGAUUCGUUGUAAAGAACUGACUCAAAAGAAUGAUUCCUUUGCGAAUCGAACACUGCUAGUUCAGAUUCUGAACAGUCGAGAAAAAAAGUCGGAUAUGCGAUAUAUUUGUUGAAAAGUUGCCGGGAAAUAUAACGAAUAUAAGUCAUCCCUACCAUGUUAUUUAAUUAAAAACUACUAAAAAGAUACGAGAGUUUAAAAACUAGUGAUGUUUCCACUUUACAACUGAGAAAUGAAGAGCUUCACUGCCCCACGCUGAUGGCUGUUAAGGGAGAGGAAACUGAACUCAACUUGAAAUCAAAUUGAAACUUGACGAAUCAGAGCCUGAUGUACCACUGAAGCCAGAGUACAGUCUUGCUUCUGUAAAAGCCAACAGAGCUCAAACUGAAACUUACGGACAGACAGACAGACAGACAAAAUGACGGAGAGAUUAAAGUGGAGGAGAGGAGUAAAUGUCUAAAGCAGCUGACCUUGUGCCAUCACCCUUGACAAGAUGCAUGUCUGGAGUGCUGAGAUGAGUCUCUGGUCACCAGCCGCUAACCGUCCAGACAGAGACUCUCUAAGUGCGCUGGCUUUAGAGGAGGAAGUCCAGAGCCUGGGAGAUGCUAUCACCACCAACCAGCUGAGACCAGAGCGGAAACCAGAACAGAAACAAAGAGAGACAGAAAGAGAAAGAAACGGCGGUGGUUUGGGUGGUGGUUAAUGGAAAUAAAAGACAGAUCAUAAUUCUCCAAAAGGGCAAUAGGCUCACAGCCAGUCUGUCAUAGAAGUAACAUGACAUGUGAAGAAUUCUCUGUGG